AUUGAACGCUGGCGGCAUGCCUUACACAUGCAAGUCGAACGGCAGCACGGGAGCAAUCCUGGUGGCGAGUGGCGAACGGGUGAGUAAUAUAUCGGAACGUGCCCGGUCGUGGGGGAUAACGUAGCGAAAGCUACGCUAAUACCGCAUACGAUCUACGGAUGAAAGCGGGGGAUCGCAAGACCUCGCGCGAUUGGAGCGGCCGAUAUCAGAUUAGGUAGUUGGUGAGGUAAAGGCGUCACCAAGCCGACGAUCUGUAGCUGGUCUGAGAGGACGACCAGCCACACUGGGACUGAGACACGGCCCAGACUCCUACGGGAGGCAGCAGUGGGGAAUUUUGGACAAUGGGCGCAAGCCUGAUCCAGCAAUGCCGCGUGCAGGAUGAA
RNAcentral lists this ribosomal RNA (383 nucleotides) under uncultured bacterium. RNAcentral describes it as "bacterial SSU rRNA". It matches the Rfam family "Bacterial small subunit ribosomal RNA", at positions 29 to 412 of the family's 1533-position model. The record is from RNAcentral.